This is a non-coding RNA of Vibrio metschnikovii CIP 69.14, 87 nucleotides long. The record is from Rfam. NCBI's taxonomy places the organism in Bacteria, Pseudomonadati, Pseudomonadota, Gammaproteobacteria, Vibrionales, Vibrionaceae.
CUAAGCAGCCAGUGAUGGAUGCUGAUGGGUAAUAAGGAGUCAGCAGAAGGCAUAGUACCUUGAGGAAGUACAACUUAAGGGAAGGCC